UACGGAAGGCAGCAGUGGGGAAUAUUGCACAAUGGGCGCAAGCCUGAUGCAGCCAUGCCGCGUGUAUGAAGAAGGCCUUCGGGUUGUAAAGUACUUUCAGUCGUGAGGAAGGUGUUAAGGUUAAUAACCUUAGCAAUUGACGUUAGCGACAGAAGAAGCACCGGCUAACUCCGUGCCAGCAGCCGCGGUAAUACGGAGGGGCUAGCGUUAUUCGGAAUUAUUGGGCGUAAAGAGCGCGUAGGCUGAUUAGUAAGUUAAAAGUGAAAUCCCAAAGCUUAACUUUGGAAUUGCUUUUUAAAACUGCUAGUCUAGAGAUUGAAAGAGGAUAGAGGAAUUCCUAGUGUAGAGGUGAAAUUCGUAAAUAUUAGGAGGAACACCAGUGGCGAAGGCGUCUAUCUGGUUCAAAUCUGACGCUGAGGCGCGAAGGCGUGGGGAGCAAACGAGGAUUAGAUACCCGU
This 458-nucleotide ribosomal RNA is filed under the name uncultured bacterium. RNAcentral's name for it is "bacterial SSU rRNA". It matches the Rfam family "Bacterial small subunit ribosomal RNA", at positions 340 to 790 of the family's 1533-position model. The record is from RNAcentral.